Hippocampus comes (tiger tail seahorse) is the source of this 382-nucleotide long non-coding RNA. RefSeq lists it as uncharacterized. The transcript has 3 exons. Lineage: Eukaryota; Metazoa; Chordata; Actinopteri; Syngnathiformes; Syngnathidae. The record is from RefSeq and is a predicted model, not a curated record.
GAAAAUGUAUUUAUUUUCCAGGACUGUCUCCAUGAGAAGACCUUGACGAAGCAGCUGCGGCGUGACACGCACACACAACCAGACAAUCACACGCGCAUGCAUACACACCCUUAUAUAAGCGCCUUCAUCGUUCCGGAUUUCUUCUUUCCCUGCGACGUGAACUGAUCUGCGGAGCGCUUGAUCACUGAGCAGCUGGUCGGACGGGCCGCAUCGCCCCCCCCCCCCCUUCCCAUGCAUCCGCCCCCUCAUUACAUGUUAUGUCUUGUGACUUGUUGUAACUGUCAUACGCCCUUUUACGUGCUGGGGUACUUUUUUUCUCCGAGACACUAAUUAUCCUUAGAAGAAGAUAGUUCGAGCAUGUUUUUUUUCCCCUCCUCCUCCC